This 466-nucleotide ribosomal RNA is filed under the name uncultured bacterium. Its description in RNAcentral is "SSU rRNA". It matches the Rfam family "Bacterial small subunit ribosomal RNA", at positions 26 to 518 of the family's 1533-position model. The record is from RNAcentral.
AGCCUGAACGCUGGCGGCGUGGCUAAGACAUGCAAGUCGUACGGGGUCCGCAAGGAUCCAGUGGCGAACGGGUGAGUAAAGUAUCGCUAACGUACCCCUAUGUCCGGGAUAGCUGGGGGAAACUCCAGGUAAUACCGGGUGACAUCACUUUCUCGCAUGAGAAGGUGCUCAAAGGGAAACCGCAAAGGGAGCGGGCGAUAUCGUAUCAGCUAGUUGGUGAGGUAACGGCUCACCAAGGCUAUGACGCGUAGCCGGACUGAGAGGUCGGACGGCCACAUUGGGACUGAGACACUGCCCAGACUCCUACGGGGGGCUGCAGUAACGAAUCUUCCGCAAUGCACGCAAGUGUGACGGAGCGACGCCGCGUGUGGGACGAAGUCCUUCGGGAUGUAAACCACUGUCAGGGGUUACCAAGUUCUGACGGAACCCCAGAGGAAGGCACGGCUAACUCUGCGCCAGCAGCCGC